GUCUUUUUGCCAUUUCUAGGGCCACUCCUGCAGCAUAUGGAGGUUCCUAAGCUAGGGGUCUAAUCGGAGCUGUAGCUGCCAGCCUACGCCAGAGCCACAGCAAUGUGGGAUCCGAGCCACGUCUGCGACCUACACCACAGCUCACAGCAAUGCUGGAUCCUUAACCCACUGAGCAAGGCCAGGGAUCAAAAUGGACAGCUCAUGGAUACUAGUCGGAUUCAUUAACCACUGAGUCAUGAUGGGAACUCCCUGAACAAAUUCUAUAAAAUCUGUACUCUUUGUCACAUGUGGCUACUGAAGUGUCUGCUUGCUUUGCUUAGCAGUCAGCUAAUAGCUGGACAAUUUGGACAGAGAUUUCCUUGAAUAAGUCAAGGAAACAAUAAGUCUCUCAGACUUUGCUGAAGGGGCAUCAGGGCUCCCUUCAACUCUGCCUUGGCCUUCAAUUCUUCCUUGUACAGAGUUCAAGGUCAGCCCGAGGUUAGGGGUUAGGGCCUUCUCAGACUUUUCCUGGGUGUGUGCCCACCCUUGUGCAUACACGUGGCUUUCUAGAUUCCCAGCAGUGAGCUGACACUUCCUGCUCUGGUGCCUGUCAAGUUGCUGUUUUUCAUGGCUAUUGCGACCGGCAUGCACUGAUUUUCAGGCCACUACGCUGUUGGGAGGAGGGAUGGAGUAGGCAAGUUAAGAUACUGUAAAGCUCCCGGUUCCAAGGACUCAGCCAUUUGAUUGAACUAACUAUUUUCAAAUUGUUGGAGGCCUUAGAUGAAUUUCCAGAGUUCUAAAAAAAAGGUGGGUUUUGACACGUUCUGCAAGCAUUCUUGCUUUUGUGGAGCAGCAGGGUUUGGGAGGUCCUAACUCCACCAUCCCGGGAAAUGCUUUUCUUCAGUCUUUAAAAAUUUCUCUCUCAGUUGAAGUAAAACCUGACAACCUUCCUUGCAAUAUCUGUGAGCUGCCGGGUGGGUUUUGUUCGCAUCUGUUCCCUUCAGUGAGGGUGUGUGGGGACCACGGCUUUAUGCAGAAGCGUCGGUCCAAACACGUGCCCCUUAGGUGCCUACAGGCUUCCCCCCUCCUGGGAGCCCAUUUCGAGGCCUUUUACACCAAGACCAGCAUCUGGGAGCCAGCCCUGGGGCCGCCCCAGCGUUAGCUCACUUUGGUGACCAUCUGGGGUUGUGUUGCUCAUCUGGGGCCCCUGAAAAUUUCCACUACUCCUCUGCAAGCUCAGCUCUCCAUCUAAAAGGUGUGCAUCUUACGUGCCUGGCAUUUCUAAGCUGUAUUUUUUUUUUUUUUAAGCAGGAGUGUUCUCAGGUUAUCAUGACCGGACUCUUCCCGGGAAAAAGGGACACCCUCUAGGUAAACACUCACAUAAACACACACGUCUAGCUAACGGAACGCAACAGGGAGAAGCAAGGACCGCCCAGAAGCCGUGGUGAAGACGGACAGCAUGAGGGUCUUGCAAGCAGAGGAGCGAGUCUGACCUGGGCCCACGGGUCUCCAGGACCGCUUCGUCCACCUCUGGCCCCCACUGGAGGCUUAAUGUGGGGGAGGGAGUGUUGAGGGUGCAGCUACAGCCAGGACUAAGGGACCCUCUGUAGGCCCAGACUCUCUGUCCACCCACGCAGGGACCUAGUCUUCCUGCAGCAGCAGCCAGGAGCCUCCGGGACAUCCUAAGGCCCCAGGAACCUCCUCCUGGCAGCACUCAGAACUAGUGGCAGGUGCAUAGACCAAAGUUCUGUGGGAAGAAUGUCUGCUCACUACAGCAGGUGCCAGGAGAUGUUCAAGGAAGAGUUAGAGACUGAAUGUUUGUCCCCCGGCCCCAAAACAAAGCAGCAUAUGGUGGGAUCCGAAACCCCCUGGGAUGGCAUCGGAAUGCGAGGUCUCUGGGAGGUCAUGAGGUCAUGAGGGUUGAAGGUGCAGCUCGGAUCCAGUGUUGCCGUGGCUGUGGUGUAGGACUGCAGCGGUAGCUCCGAUUCAACCCCUAGCCCGGGAACUUCCUAUGCCACGGGCGCAGCCAUAAACAUUUUUAAAAAGGGGACUCCAGAGAGCUCUCCCACCUCCUCCUCCACGUGAGGGCGCAGGGAGAAGGCGGUCUGUGACCCAGGCGGUGUGUCCUCACCCGACACCGAAUCUGCGGACACCUUGACCUCGGCCUCAGACUGUGCAGAUUGCUGGCCGGGAGGCUCCCUGGACGGUACAUGAAGUCAAGGGCAACUGGAAGCAAUGCUCUGGAGAAGGAGGCUGCCCGGAUCUGGAUGGUGUGGCACGUGGGAGGACCGGAGGAUCCAUGGUCAGAGGCGACGUGGUCCACGACUCCUUAGUGGGAUUUGAUCGCAAGGAGCAGGUGCAAAGACGUGUGUACUGGGAUGCCCAACGCAGCGCUGGCCGUAACUGCAGGAAGUUACCCACUCUCUGGAGGCCAAGUGGAUCACUUCAGGUAAGCCCACACUCAGAAAACGCCGCAUUUGCCCGUCAUUCUGCGGAGAUGUUCGUGGGCUCCUGCGAGGUGACAGUGAAUCGGGAGGGUGUUCACGUGGGGUCCUGCCGCCUGGCUCCCUUCCAGCUCAGCCACAGGUCAGGGGGCCCGAUCCAGGGCAUUAGAGCCACCUGACAAAGCUGCAGACCUUGGGCUGUUUCAGAGGGGCCCCUGGGCUUUCUGGGGACAUCAAGCUUUCCCUGUGCCCCGUCUCCAGCAGCCACUCUGCCGCAAUCUUGGGGGAGGACCCUGGCUGUGGCUGCAUGCACAGGGCGGGGGCUGAAGGCGAGGGGACCUGAGCCCUGGAGUUCGGCCCACAGCUCAGUCUCCUGGCUGCCCCCACCCAGUGACCCCAAGCCCGCCACCUGCAACCGCAUCCCCUGGCGGUGGGUGUGCUGCUCCCCACCCCAUCCCCAACACAGACCUCUGUAAUCGACCAGGUCGAGGCUGAGGGGGAAAUGCCGCAAGUCAGAGAGCCAGUGUGUGGGGUGAGCAGACAACUGGGGGGUGACAUGGCUCCUGUCCCAGGGCCCCCGCUCCAUGCUGCUCCUUCCCCGCGCCAUGCUGGAAACUGCUGCCUUGUCCCUGGGGUCUCAGCUCACUGGUUACACCCUGACCACGGGAUUUAACCCGUCCUUCAGCCCAGUCUGUCCAUUUCUUCACAGCACACUCCUGCUCUGACACCCUCUGGACGGGUAGUUGUCAUCCCCCUCCCCCGCCCAGUGUCCCCAGCUCACUCAGCCCCACUGGAGACCAGGCCCUCGGGAGAGUUGGGGGAUGGUGGAGGGUGUGGGGGACCCCGGCCUCGCCCCCACUGUCUUUUCAACAACAUCCCUGAGGCCUCGGCCACCGGAGGACGCAGGCAGGGAAGGAGGUUGGUCCUGCGCUGUGGGCCAGAUGGGGAGCAGUGCUGUCCCCGCGUGCAGACCCGGUCCUGGGCACCCGGCCUCCGCCUCGCUCCCGGGCCUCUCGGUCGGCGUGGCCAGCUAACCGAGCUUGCUGAUAGCUUGGGAACGUGGUGAUAAGGGCUGAGCAUGGGGAAUGGUUACCUCCUGGCUCUUGUGAGAAUCACCAGGGUGGCUGUUUCAAGUGUCUGCCCCCAAUUUUCCAGCGGUCCCUCCCUUGGGAGUCUGGGCAGACAGGCAGGGGCGCGGCGGCGAAGGGGGCCGCUUUCCAUUUUUAGGUUGAAUUCCUUUCUGGAAAGCUGCAGGCAUGUCUCUGGCAUGAGUGCCCCGGGGCUGGGGGUGUGCAGCACUCUCCCUGGCCGGGCCCCCCGUGGCUCACGUUCCUCCUUGUCUGCCUCCUUCAGCCGGGAACGGGUGAGUGCCUGGACCCCAGGGUGCCCUGCGUUUGAGGCUCCCAUGAGGGAAACACCAGCCACGAACAUCCCACACCACGGAGCUCAGGACCGCCAGCAAGUGCCUGAGGUGGGCACAUGCAGGUGGGAUGGCUGGGUUCACAAACGCAAAAUCAGGAUGCCCAGUGAGAUCUGAAUUUCAGAGAAACGGGGAGUGCUUCGUGCCAGCGAGCCCCCCGGCGUGCGCAGUCCCGCCUCGCCAGCGGAGGCUGAUGUCAGAGAAGCUGCCCCUGGGCACGCUGGGUAAGUGGCCACACGGGUGAACGCUGGGGGGCAAGCUCAGGGGAUGCCCCCAAAGGCGUGGCUCUAGAUGCACUGUCCAGAGACUGCCACGGGCGCCAGCCUGAACCCGCAAGUCCAGCCACGCAGCCACCAGCCGCAUGUGGCUACUGCCCACUGGCCUGGGGCACUGAGCCUUUCAUUCUACUGUGUGUCAGGGGACAUGGUCACAGGAGGCUGUGGCCAAGUCACUGGGCAGCACAGGUGUAGGGGUGGUCCCGGAGGCCCCUCUGAGCUUUUGUGCAGACAUCUGGAAAUCUGGAGGAAAUUAUCUCCCAACUGGGGAGAUGAAGCCCCCCCCAACCCUGAGGAACUGGGGGAAGGCCAGUGAGGGGACCAGGGGGCAGGGGAGGGAGACAGGAGGGGACAGCAGGCAGGUCCAGCCCCCCUCAGGCCACUGGACACAGUCUGGACGUGCAUUCUAUUCCUAGUAAUGGGUCAAGCGGUAACUCCACAAGCUGUUCUGGGCAUUUUCACCGUCCUUCCGGCUGUGGCUUCGCCCUGCCUGUCUGGUGCAGCGGGUUUGAUUGAUUGCUUGCUGUGCCCACCGACCCAGCUGCCGUGUCCUGAUCCCCGAGAUGGUCGUCAGCCUGAAAGUCCCAGAGAAGGGGACUUGGGGAGGAGGUUUCUUGGCACCAGGCCAGGAAACCCCAGGGGUGGGAGGCGCCAGGCUCUCUGCUCAGACCCCCCACCCACCCCCCGCCCCCCGCCAGACUGCAGACCCUCCAUUCUGCUCUGCGCUGGGCAGCUCCUCCCAGGUACCCUGGAAGGUCUCCCUCUUGACAGGGUGACAGCGGUUAAAUCUCGUCCCCAGCCUGACACCCUGUAUCUGUUGCCAGUUACAGGAUCUGACACUGCUGGGGGACAGUGAGUCGAUGCAAUGAGUCUGAGAGACAGCCUCCCUCCUAGCCCAGGAUGCUGCAAGGCCUCUGCCACCCGAGCCGGGGGUGGACUCUGAAACGAGACGUGGCCUCUUUGAAAAGGAAGUUCUUUAAAUUCUCU
Molecule: long non-coding RNA, 5105 nt
Filed under: Sus scrofa (pig)
Lineage: Eukaryota; Metazoa; Chordata; Mammalia; Artiodactyla; Suidae
Description: lncRNA (ENSSSCG00040015327.1)
Source: RNAcentral